This is a long non-coding RNA of Cyprinus carpio (common carp), 619 nucleotides long. The record is from Ensembl. Lineage: Eukaryota; Metazoa; Chordata; Actinopteri; Cypriniformes; Cyprinidae.
UACAUAAAUGCAAAUUAGACAAGCACAUAAUAUGAACAACUACAGUGCAUCGGUUAGAAUAAACUUUUAGAGCAUACAGUGUGGAACUUUAUGUAAUUUUUUCAUUUAUAAUUUCUUUUACUGAAUUUCAAAAAUACAAAACAAUUCACUAUGUCCUCAAGACAUUUAAGAGUAAAUCCACGUAAGGAUGCAAUCAUAUAAAAAUAAAUAAAAGUAAAUGAAAAGUAAAAGGCAACGCAAUCAUUUUUACUAUUCAUUUAGCUGUGCUGAUGACAUCAGCUGGCGUCAUGCAGUUGAUUUCAGUUUCAUAUAGGAAGGGUUUUUCCUGGAAUCCUUUUUUGGAAAAUAGCUUACAUGCUUAUCUACUCACGCUAACUGUUUCAGAGAAAAACUUUUGCAGUGAUGAGUUUCAGAGGUCGAGAUGCUGGUUCAGAGAUGUAACAGAAAACCUUAACCUCAUUCAAGGUGUAAACAGCAGGGACUAGCAUUGUCUCUACACCACAGUUUUGGCUUCAGUACAUCACCAGAAUCUUAUACUUCUGUAUCAAUACUAAAUCAGUACAUUAGAUGACAAAUAACUCAUAAUAAAAGAUGAGUGAAUUAUUAGUACUCUCUACUG